GACGAACGCUGGCGGCGUGCUUAACACAUGCAAGUCGAACGGAAAGGCCCUGCUUUUGUGGGGUGCUCGAGUGGCGAACGGGUGAGUAACACGUGAGUAACCUGCCCUUGACUUUGGGAUAACUUCAUGAAACUUGGUCUAAUACCGGAUAGGAGCUCCUGCUGCAUGGUGGGGGUUGGAAAGUUUCGGCGGUUGGGGAUGGACUCGCGGCUUAUCAGCUUGUUGGUGGGGUAGUGGCUUACCAAGGCUUUGACGGGUAGCCGGCCUGAGAGGGUGACCGGACACAUUGGGACUGAGAUACGGCACAGACUAGUACGGGAGGCAGCAGUGGGGAAUAUUGCACAAUGGGCGGAAGCCAGAUGCAGCAAAGCAGCGUGCGGGAUGACGGCCUUCGGGUUGUAAACCGAUUUCGCCUGUGACGAAGCGUGAGUGACGGUAAUGGGUAAAGAAGCACCGGCUAACUACGUG
RNAcentral lists this ribosomal RNA (468 nucleotides) under uncultured bacterium. RNAcentral's name for it is "partial 16S ribosomal RNA". It matches the Rfam family "Bacterial small subunit ribosomal RNA", at positions 28 to 507 of the family's 1533-position model. The record is from RNAcentral.